AAGUCCUCGUGGCCCUUAUGGGUAGGGCUUCACACGUCAUACAAUGGUCGGUACAGAGGGUUGCCAACCCGCGAGGGGGAGCUAAUCCCACAAAGCCGAUCGUAGUCCGGAUCGCAGUCUGCAACUCGACUGCGUGAAGUCGGAAUCGCUAGUAAUCGUGGAUCAGCAUGUCACGGUGAAUACGUUCCCGGGUCUU
Molecule: ribosomal RNA, 196 nt
Filed under: uncultured Rhodocyclaceae bacterium
Lineage: Bacteria; Pseudomonadati; Pseudomonadota; Betaproteobacteria; Rhodocyclales; Rhodocyclaceae
Description: partial 16S ribosomal RNA
Rfam family: Bacterial small subunit ribosomal RNA
Source: RNAcentral